This 376-nucleotide ribosomal RNA is filed under the name uncultured eukaryote. Its description in RNAcentral is "partial 18S ribosomal RNA". It matches the Rfam family "Eukaryotic small subunit ribosomal RNA", at positions 592 to 976 of the family's 1831-position model. The record is from RNAcentral.
CAAUAGCGUAUAUUAAAGUUGUUGCGGUUAAAAAGCUCGUAGUUGGAUAUCUGUUUGGUAUUGAAGUUCUAACCGAUAAAGUUGGAUACGGCAAAACCAAACCUAAAUUACUGGAAUUAUCUUGUUUUUACGAGAUAACGAAAGUAGUAUUUCACCUUGAGGAAAUUAGAGUGCUUAACGCAAGUGUUAUGUAUGCUUUGAAUAUUUUAGCAUGGAAUAAUAACCUAAGGCUUUGAACAUCUUAUCAACUCUAUGUUCAAAGUAAUGUAUAAUAGAGGUAGUUGGGGGCAUUCGUAUUUAACUGUCAGAGGUGAAAUUCUUGGAUUUGUUAAAGACGAACUAAUGCGAAAGCAUUUGCCAUGGACACUCUCAUUGA